RNAcentral lists this ribosomal RNA (261 nucleotides) under uncultured archaeon. RNAcentral's name for it is "partial 16S ribosomal RNA". It matches the Rfam family "Archaeal small subunit ribosomal RNA", at positions 748 to 1008 of the family's 1478-position model. The record is from RNAcentral.
CAGCCGUAAACUAUGCGCGUUAGGUGUAUCGGUGACCACGAGUUACCGAGGUGCCGAAGGGAAACCGUGAAACGUGCCGCCUGGGAAGUACGGUCGCAAGGCUGAAACUUAAAGGAAUUGGCGGGGGAGCACCACAACAGGUGGAGCCUGCGGUUUAAUUGGACUCAACGCCGGGAAGCUCACCGGAUAGGACAGCAGAAUGAUUGCCGGGCUGAAGACUCUGCAUGACUAGCUGAGAGGAGGUGCAUGGCGUCAGUGACU